RNAcentral lists this transfer RNA (75 nucleotides) under Candidatus Levybacteria bacterium RIFCSPHIGHO2_01_FULL_36_15. Its description in RNAcentral is "tRNA-Gly". It matches the Rfam family "tRNA". Rfam says of the family: Transfer RNA (tRNA) molecules are approximately 80 nucleotides in length. Their secondary structure includes four short double-helical elements and three loops (D, anti-codon, and T loops). The record is from RNAcentral. RNAcentral also lists the same sequence under 1 other name. Lineage: Bacteria; Candidatus Levyibacteriota.
GCGGGCGUAGUUCAGUGGUAGAAUGUCUCGUUGCCAACGAGAAGGUCGCCGGUUCAAGUCCGGUCGCCCGCUCCA